This 429-nucleotide ribosomal RNA is filed under the name Chloroflexota bacterium. Its description in RNAcentral is "Chloroflexi bacterium partial 16S ribosomal RNA". It matches the Rfam family "Bacterial small subunit ribosomal RNA", at positions 355 to 776 of the family's 1533-position model. Lineage: Bacteria; Bacillati; Chloroflexota. The record is from RNAcentral.
UGGGGAAUAUUGCACAAUGGGCGCAAGCCUGAUGCAGCCAUGCCGCGUGUGUGAAGAAGGCCUUCGGGUUGUAAAGCACUUUCAGCGGGGAGGAAGGCGUUAAGGUUAAUAACCUUGGCGAUUGACGUUACCCGCAGAAGAAGCACCGGCUAACUCCGUGCCAGCAGCCGCGGUAAUACGGAGGGUGCAAGCGUUAAUCGGAAUUACUGGGCGUAAAGCGCACGCAGGCGGUCUGUCAAGUCGGAUGUGAAAUCCCCGGGCUCAACCUAGGAACUGCAUUCGAAACUGGCAGGCUAGAGUCUUGUAGAGGUGGGUAGAAUUCCAGGUGUAGCGGUGAAAUGCGUAGAGAUCUGGAGGAAUACCGGUGGCGAAGGCGGCCCCCUGGACAAAGACUGACGCUCAGGUGCGAAAGCGUGGGGAGCAAACAGG